Sapajus apella (tufted capuchin) is the source of this 12121-nucleotide long non-coding RNA. RefSeq lists it as uncharacterized. The transcript has 2 exons. Lineage: Eukaryota; Metazoa; Chordata; Mammalia; Primates; Cebidae. The record is from RefSeq and is a predicted model, not a curated record.
CUUUUCCAGUCCACGUGUUUGUCCGUUGUUCAUUUUGCUAACAUUUUUAUUUUAUUAAGAAAUUUUACUUUAUCUGGAAAUGCAAAUGAACGGCAUAGGUGGCAGAACUAGUACUUUUUAUUCUGUUUUCAUUCACCUGGAGACUUGCUGUCUGAAGAGUCGACCGCACUUCAUAAUGUGUAGUGGAACACAACCCAGCGUGUGGUGUAAAAUUGGCCACUUUCUAGGUGUGAUAAGAAUAGUAGCUGACUCUGCAGUGUACUGAACGAUGCAAAGGGCAGAACUAAUGCUCAUACCUAGGCUCUAGUUAAUCAUCAUGUUCGAUGGCCCCUCUUAACAGGGCUAACUCCUUAUUUUCACAGUUCCAGACCCACACACAGUUGUAACUUGCUAUUUUGGCAGAACUUCCCAUUCAUCCAUGUUUUCCAAAACUCGAAACGUGCAUCUCUUAACUACGUAUCUCUGAACCUUAUUCUUUAAGCUUUACCUUCCCUCCUUUGACAAUACCUGUCCUGUCAUCACCUCACUGCUAUACUCAGAUUCCACUAGGGAAAUAUUUUGAGGUUAUCAUUGUAGACGUGUUUAAAAAGUGUGUUAGCUGUGGCUGAAAAUCUUAGAAGGCUACCUUAUUAAGAUCUGAGUCUGAAUGCUUGCUUGCUUUAGUAACCCAUUGAAAUGAGUUGUUUCGGCUCUACCCAGUGUCCAUUCUUUCAUGGAACAGAACGUCUCCCAUUUUAGCCUAAUACAUCAUGAUUUUACCAAUAGUUAAGGAGGAGGUAUGCAGAAUAGCAGUAUCUCAGGUCAGCUAAAAUGUUUCAUGUAAGCUCUUUGUGGAAUACUCAUCGGGGACCUGCCCAGAGAAAAUAGUGUCUUGAGUUAGGACAUCCCACCGUCUCAUGAGCAACAGAUUUUUUGCCCCAGGAAAAUGGAAAGGAGAAAAGGAAAAAUAUAAAACAAUUAUAAUGUUCUCUUAUUAGGUAAUCAUGUCAGUCUUUCUAUUGUGAAAUGAAUAGCAUUGGGUCUUAGUAUUAUGUAAGGAAAUUUGAGUUCGUGUAACUUGAAUAAUAAAUAUCUCUAAAGAAUUGUCACCACAUGUAAAGCGUUUGUGUUCCUAGAAUAUAAUAGGCACUUUUUCUUCUGGCAGUUUUGAUACUGAUAAUCAGUGAUGCCUGUUUUUUGCUCCAUAGCAUUUGUAUUCAGGUAAUUAGAAUAAACUCUUACACAGCAGUGAUGAUAAUUUAAAAGUAUUAUCUUUAUUUGAUGUUAAUACUAUUAUGUUAGCCAUUUUUAAUUACUAUUUUGGGUAUAGACUAUAAAUAUGGCAUUUCACAAAACCAACUUCAGAACCGUAGGCCUGGAAAUACAGUAGGGUGUGAACAAUAAUGCAAAAUGAUAGCAAGAAUGUCAGGGGCCUUUCUUUGUUGUGUCAUUCAUGCUGUCUUCUUUUUUCCAUGAAGCGCAUGAAUAUUUCACAUAUCUGCAUCCUCAUCCCCUAUUCUUCUUGACUAAUUUUCAGACUGUCUGCAUUUGCAUUUCACAUGGUAGCUGAUUAGGAGAUGCCGAGUGCAGCAGCGAAGCCUCAGCAGGCGGUUACCAUGGUGACCUUCAGCAGGAUUUUAAUGAUGCUACCACUAGUGGUUCGUUGAAGUCGGCCUGCCUGCAGGGCUACUUCACUGCAGCUAAGUGUGAAGUUGGAUACGCGGAUCCUCAGCCAAGGGGCAAAUAUCAAAGUCUGGCCCAGAUAGAAGGUCUUAGAGUUGGGAAAGGAAAAUGGAUUCCACUUUUUACUUCCCUCGUAUAGUUUCCAGUUUCGAAAAGAGCUAUAAAGCAAAACACAUUAUAUGGUGUACUUUCCAAAAAAGUGUGAUUGCUCAUAUUGGUAAAAUUUGUUGUCAUUCCCUGAUGAAAUAGAAAGCUGUAAUUUCUAGGUAAAUGUGGAAAAUAAUUCUUACUAAGAAAAUGAAUAUAAAAAUAUGCAGACUGUAUAACAAUGUUACUUUAAUCUGUUUAGUUAUGUAGAAGAGUUCUCAAAAUAAGAGCUUUGAAAGGCAGAUAAAUAAAUAUUUUCUUAAGUAGCAACUCAAAUUUCUUUGUAAAAUAAUUAUUCAGAGUUCAUGGUAGCCAAAAAUCCCAAAUUUGGAAGUAUAAUAAUGUCUUAAAUAUUUUUGAUAAUUUAGAUCUUUUAAAAAUUCAAAUUACUGUUUAAUUUGUUAGUAUGGCAAAAUACAGGAACCAAUAAAAAGUGAAGUACAGAGUUUUUCAACAGUGAACUUUUAAUGAAAAGACAGUUUAUUUUGUUAAUUUUAUAGGUAAAAUGGUAACAAACUGUGUAACUAUUUGAAAACUAAAAAAUUUUAAGCAAAUCAAUUUACCAAAUAUGUAUUUGCAAGCUUACCAAAUUUACUUAGCUACUGCCAAAUUUUUAAGGCCACUGCCCAAACAAGAUUUUAAGGGAACAUUUUGUGAGAGUACUAGCUAUACGUGCCAAUCGGCCUCAGUUGAUAGGAAUUCUAAGGAACCCUACACAAAUUAUUUCUAGACAUAGUCAUUCUAUUUAGAAGAACUCGGAGUUUCAAAGUUCAGAUUUUUUUUUUUCCCUAUAUUAUAUUCUAAAACAUGUAUAACAGGUAAGCAUUAAAACAAAAAAUGAGAAGUAGUUUUAGAAAAAUAAGCCUGUACGUCAAAUCUUUUCUUUUGAAUUAUGCUAGACUUAGUGUGUACAAAUGAUUGGGGUUCCAGAUUGAAGUAUUUCAUCUACACAUGAAUGAUAUUAGGGAAUCUAUAUUUUGUGGCUUAUUUAAAUAUUUUUCUUUCUGAUUUCUUUUGGUGUUUUGUAUUUUUUCCUUUUUCUAGUAAUGAUCUCAUUCAUGUAUUAAUGGACAGUUACUAUAUUUAAGCAAGGGUCCUGGGUUGAAAAGAUAUCUUUCCUUGAAUAUCUCUCAGUUUAAGUGAAACUUGGUAUUGUUGGUGACAGUGAAGCAAACAUUUACUUAUGUAUAAGGAAUUGUGACUCAAAAGCCUCAUAAACGGACCUGGGCUCAUCUCUCAAGGAUUGUUGAUCAUCAGAUAUUCUUUUCUAAUUUUUCUAACUCUAUCAAUGCAUGUUCCACUAGAAGUUCCAUGAAUUUUCAUGUUUUUAUAGAUGAUGUUUCCUCUUUCGGAAAUACCUCUUUCCCUGUUCUUUACCAAACAAACUCAUUCUUUUCCUUUCAAAUAUAACUUGUACAUAAAGUUUUCCUGUGUGGUUUUCCCUGACCUCCUUUCUUCUCUUCCUGUUGCCUCCUCCCUUGGCAGUUACACCAUGUUGUAGUAGCUUCCUUGCACGGAUGCCUCCCCUGCAGGCUGUCAAGCUCCCGCCAUUGAGGAUCAGUAACUCUGCUACUUAUCUGUAUAUCUCUAGGGCCUGGGGCCAACACAUUUUUAAAGGCUUAGUAAUCAAUUGAUUGAUUGAUUGAGGGAGUGAGGGUGGGAAUCUGAGUUAAAGGAAUAAAUUUUUUAAAAGAAUGGAUGAACCAAUAAAUGAGAAUUGAAUGAGCGAGAGAAACUUCUCCAAAGAACUCUCUCUAGAGUAAGGCAGAAAAUUACUUGCAAGAUAGGCCAGAGGAUGUGAUAGUUUUCUUUGAUUGAUAUUACUUCCUAUUUUAUAUAAGCAUCAUUAUCUCUGUAAUGCCAAGUGCGCAUUUACUGGGAAAUAAGAUAAAUAGACUGUUUUCCUUCAGUUUCAGUAUUUAAUUUCUUUGAGAGACAUUGGAGUAGUCACCAAAAUUAUGCAUUUGUUCACUAGCUUAUCUUAUGAAUUCUAAGUAAAAAACAAUAGUAAAUAGCUAUAUUGUUAAUUAUUUAGAAGUUUAACUGAUGCUGUUAAAAAUGUCAGCGUUAAUAUCAAACAAAAUAUAUACUUUGUUUCAUUCAAUACUUUGUUAUUAAAAAUUUCUAGUUUGAAUACAGAAAGCAUAAGAAAAGUUGACACAGUGGUGCCUCAGUGGUUGCUUUUAACAGAUUUCAUGUUAGGUUUGAGGAGAUAGCUUUGGAAGCAAGUUCUGUAAGUUGAGUACAGGGUUUACAGGUGAAAGUUUAAGAAAUGGAAAUGAGAAAGAAGUAUAAAGCGUGCCCUUGGUUCAAGAAAAUUGGGUAGAGAUAAAUUGAAGACUAAAGACAGUGCUUUGAGUAAAAAAGAAAUUUAAGCACCUGUCAAACAUUGGAAAGAUGGUUAAAACGUUUUUAAUAAAGUAGACCAUUAUUACAACAACACUUGCUGAUCUGCACUACUACUACUAAAUAGAUAAACAUCUGCUUGCUAUGGCAGAUGUUUAUCUAUUUAGUAGUAGUUUUAAAUGUAUUAUAAGAAAGACUGAUGAAGGAUACAAUAUUUCAGUAUUUGUGGUUAUUGUGAUUAUAUUCUGAUUAUAUUUUCAAAAACUUACUAGUUUAGUAAGUCUCAUUAAUGCUUUUUAUAGGUUAAGAAACCAGCAAAAUGUGAUUUUGGAAUCAGAAUUUUUAAUCCAGUGAUUAGUUUUCACAUUACGUAAUGUCUCUUUUGUUUUACAUUAAAUUUGUGUUCAUUGUAUGACGUUAUACCUCCAGCCCACAGACAGAAAACUUGGUUAUUUUAAAAAAAUCAAGUAAUGAGACUACUCAAAAAAAUUAUACCAUAAAGUAUCAACCUGAAAGGUCACAUUCAAUCAAAGAACUAAUAGAGAAUGAAUGAACCAUAAAUGUUCACCUCAUAAAUGCUAAUGAAUAUAUUUUGGUUUUACCUGUUUUCUGUUAUUUUUGUCUUCCUCUUUCAGGUGGACAGUGUCCCUCUCCUUUUUUUUUUUUUUUUUUAAGUUAGAGAAACAUAGGCAGGAGGGGAGGGUUCUUUCUGGCCUCUCCUGAAAUAGUUUAGCAGUGCAGCCUGGUAAUAUCUUUCCUGCUGCUGCACUCAAAUGUUUACAAAUUGCUGACAUCAUCUCCACUGUUGUUGAAACAAGAGAGGUCUUGAUUUUAUGGUGUAUUUAAAAUCAACACAGGGAUUAAAAAGUUAAGAUUUUUUCUAUGGUUGAUUUUGUAUGAAUAACAAUAGUAAAUUUUUAAUGGAAAUAAACUGAUUUCAGAUAUUUAUAGGUUAUUGGAGAAUAUAAUAUGUUUAUGUGGCUUUGAAUAAAAUUAUAAUACUGAAUUUUUUUCACCUUUUGAAAUCACGUUUUAUUUAAUCCAGUUGUCAAUUUUCCUGUUAAAGAAGGGUAACUGCAUCAUUCCCAUUUCUCUAUGUGUAAGUAGAGACCUAGACAAUGUUUAGAGCAAAUACUGGACAUCACAGUGGUACCCAUAUGGCAUGGCAUCGCCAUUUGUGUUAUAAGAACACAGAGCCCAGAGUAAAUUCUCAGGUGUUUUAUGAAUGAGCAUUUCAUGAUUUCUACUCUUAGACUUACUAAUUCUUUAUUUUUCUCCUCUCUGUUCUUAACCCUUUCACUCACCAUAUUUAUCUGGAAUCUCCUUCUCUAGAGGCAUAGCAGGUGAGAGGGCAGAGUCACAAUGAGGCAUUUGCUUAGAACACUCUUCUGACUCAUGAAAACUCAGGGACAAUGUAACAUUGAAAGGAAAGUACAAGGAAGCUACAGAAGGGUAGGAGUUACUGCUACCUAUCUGAGUAUGAAAGACCAAGCAUGUAUCUCAACAUAGCAAAUAUGUUGAUCCAUAAUAUAUUGAACAAAAAAAGUUAUGGUUUGUCAUCAUUUUACUAAUACUUUAUUUUCAAAUGGCUACUAUUAAGGAAAGGAAAACACUAAAUGAAAGCUUUAAAAAUUAUAACUGGGUUUCAAAAAGAAUAUUUAUAAAUAAUUUUUGUUUAUUUUUAAUUUAGAAUAUGUUUAAAGAAGAUUUUUAAGGGAGUUAAGUCAGUAACAAAAACUAUGACCUUUGCUUUGGUUCACGAAAGAACUGCUUUAUGUAAAUAGAAAAAAAGAUGAAAGUGUCAGGUAGAGAUUAUUUUUACAUUUUUGAAGUUAAAUUAAGUUUAUAAAACUUUUUUAUUCAUUUGAGCAGUCCAAAUAUUUUUAGUUUGUAAUUGCUAGACUUACAAAUUUUAAUAGAUCUAUGUAAGUUUUCUGGAGUUGUUACUGUAAAUUAACCAAAGUCGUUUAAAUUGGUGUUAGAGGAUUUUUUUGUAACACAUUGUCCUAAAAUUAUUUAAAAGAAGGACAUUAUUUUAUAUGGCACAAUGUCGGAAGGUAAUUCUGAACAAACAUUUCUGCAGUCUCUGCAACCAUGUAAUCAAAUCCUGAAAUAAGAAUGUUUUACUUUAAAAUGUAGAUAUAUAUGUAAUAAAAUCAGUAAUAUAUAAUUGUGCCAUUAUUUAUUAAAAUUAGCAGUGUUGUCUCAAACACUAUUAAUAACAUUUGAUUUUCUUUCCUAGAAAUUGUUUCAGUAAAUUUAAUAUUCUCAUCACUUAAAACAUAACAUCAGUUGGCCACCUUGCUGAUAGUUGCCAUAUAAGAUUAGACUUUUAAGCUUUGAAUCUUCUAUUUUUGUUUAAAAUACAUAGUUAAGCAAGCCCUUUGUUCACCUGUGCUUCUGAAGUUACAUUGGGGACUUGCUCCUUGAAGACAUGAAUCCAAAACGGUGUCCUAUAUUUCACAUGUCCUAUGGGAUCCUAUAAAAAUCAUGUAACUUUCUGUAAGACUUUCACAGUUUUCAAAAGACACUGAAUGAUCUUCAGCUGUGAAAUAGAGACAUUACAUUACCUUAUAUCUGUGUAAGAUUACUUUCUUUUCCCUUUGCCUCUACCCCCAAGUCAAUCACUAGUGACACUUUGGUGUACCAGUAAGAUACGCCUAAUCAUUUUGUAUAAAUAUCUAAAGCUCCAAAAUAUAGUGUACUUUAAUGUAUUAGACCCACUUUGGGGUGCUAAAAUGUGUCCUUGGGUAGAUGGAAAUUGGGUAUAUCCGGGAGACUGACAUAACAUAAUUGGUCUCAGAGGGAUUAAGAGGGGGGUGAAAAAGGAACAGUACCAAUAGCACUAGUCUUUAUUAUUCUGUUGAGAAUUGUUAGUGACCUAAAGCUGUAAUGCACAAAGAGCCCUAUUGUUAUUACCUGUACGUGACUGAACUUGAUCUGUAAUUGGGUUAUCACCCUGACAACAAUGACUGUUAACACUGUCUUCUUUUUAACAUUUCUGGUAUCAACCUAUUUGCUUUGAUAUCUCUUUAGAACUAUAUAGAUCACAAUAUAUUUGUAUUUUCUCUACUUUAUUGACAACGUUCAUUUCUUUAUAGCUAAUGACCUCAUAAUCCCUUAGAAAUGUUACAGAGAAUCCAUUUUAUUUUUACUUUAUAAACUUUGUUUCAUUUAAGUGUUUCUAUGUUGCUUUUAAAAUGUUUGAGAAGCAUCUGAAUUAAACAGUUUUCACUGAUUUUGUAAAGGCUUUUGUAUAUUCAGACCUUUACUUUGCCUUAUUUUAAACAUAUUAUAUAAAACAAUUUUUUAUAAAAGCAACAAAGUAGACUUUUUUUUUUUUUUACAAACGAGUCAAAAGUAAUGCAAACUAAGUUUUCUGAGAUAACAUAAACCAUGAAAUGCUUACUUGUAUUUAUUCUUAUCAGUGUUGCAAUAUCUAAUGAUAUUGGAAUUAUUUCUACAAUUUAAAGCAAUAAAUGGAAAGCUAACUCCCACAAUCAAGCACACAUUUUUUUGAGCAAGUGAUUGACUAAUAUUAUUAGAAAAUGAAACCUGACAUGAAGGAAUAUGUAUCAAAUUCUUAAUACUAUUAUCUAAUCACAUUUUCCUAGAACAUGGGUUAAUAAUGUAGUACUUAAAAUCAUUCACAGUAUUGGAUAAAUAUUAAAUGUUUUUUAAAUAACUUUAUUCCUUCCAGAGGUUUACAGAAACUAUUUUAAAAAUGUAAAAAAAACACUGAGGGAAAUCGCUAGGAUCAUUAUCUCGUUUUGAUUAUUUGAUAUCUGAAAAAGGGAAAAAACUUAGAGGCAUUUCUUAUGUUCAUCAGGUUACUGUAUAAAUUUAUAAUCUGGAAUAAAGAAAUUGUUCUAUGAUAAAAAUCAAGUUUAUUUUAUUUGGAGGGAGUUUACUGCCAUUUUCAUGAGUCAGAUUAGAAAUAACAUUAAAAAUAUCAUCUUGUCAUAAUAAUUGAAUAUUUUGGUGUCAUUUAAGUAUAUCUCUCACAGAAUAAAGUAGGCUAUAUCUUAUUGGGAAUUCUGCAGAACUCUUGAGAAAAUUUUUUGGUUUGAUUUUUGAUCACAAUUGGCCUAUGAAAUGUGAAGGCAGAUCCAUUAAUUUUAGAAACCAGAGGAACUGGUGUUAGAGUUAGCAUUCUUUUGAAAAUCACAAUUGGCCUCACAAUCUGUCUUUGACUGUGUGGAAGGCCACCCCACCUUUGUGCAGAGGUGGCCGUGAGGGACCCUCCAGAUCAAGUUAGAAUUUUCUCUGGCAGUAUAAUAUAGUACUAUAUUUAAAAGCUUGGGCGCUGGAGCUAGACUGCUUUAUUUCAGAUCCAGGCUUUGCCCCUUGUGCCGUGGUGGCCUUAGGAAUGUUACGACUCUUUAAAAUUGUAUAUACCAGUAGUGUCCACCCCAUAGAGUUUUUAUGAAGAUUAAGUAAAUUAAACCAUGUAAAAUGCAUAGAAUGGUUCAUAAAUAUUAAAUAUUACCUUUUAGGAGAUAGUUUUUCUUUAGCACUGGAACUAGCAUUUAUUUGAAAUCCCAGAGAUAUCUCAAAGAGCAUAAAGAGAUAUCUUUUGAUCUGAAAAUGUUCAGGGGACUGUAUUUUCAGUUCUCCAUUGGAGUCUUAGAAAAACUAAUAAUUCAGUGGAAUAUCCAAGUCUAAGUAAUAUAACCCCAGAUAUGUUCACUAGCUGCAAAAAGUGCACCGCUUCGUAACCAUGAGUCAACCUAUUACGUAUAGUUAUUUAACAAAGUAAAAAUGGAUUUUCUUUUCUAAUGGAUGAGUUUUAAACCCUAGCUCUUAAUACAAUACCCGGGUUAUAAUAUACAUAGGUGACUAUUUUAUCCUCCUAUUCACAAUGGCAGGGCCACAAAUAACUCUACCACCUUCAAGUGAUAUUAUAGUUUUGUAUUCAUUAAAAGAAGGAGAUGUGGCCUUGUUUGUAAUUGCUGUUUAGUCUUACAAGGCUAUUCAUGGAUCCAUAUGAAUUCACAUUUUUAAACCCAAUUAUUAACAUUAAAGGCAUAAAAUUUUACUUGUGAUUUUUUUUUCCCCUUGUUAUACCAAAAGAUUUUUGCAACUGAUUUUUCCCCCACUAGAGUAACAGGUCUGUUUUAAGUAUAUCUUUAGAACAACCAAUAGUUAUCUGACAAAUACCAAGGAAAAUAACAUGAAAUUAAGAAUUCAGCCUAUAUAAAUCUCCUAUUAUGUAAUUCCCAAUCCACUUUUCUUCAAAAAAGAUUUGAGAUAAUUUAUAGCAACAGACAUGACUUAUCUGUAAUUAAAAUGGAUAUAUAAGUAAAAUUCAGAACCAGGAUGGGAAGGGCACGGAAAUGUAUACCUGUUACGACCAGCAGAGUUGCUGUGUUGAGGUUCUCACUUGGCUAUUGCUUCCUUUAUCUCAUGGCACAAAGGGAAACAUAGUAAGCAAAUUAGUUGCUGCUUUUAAGGGGGAAAUAUACUAUUAAUAGUUUCUCACAAAAGAGAAAGUUGUCUCCUAUUGAAUUAUGGUAGAAAUAUCUUAUAUGACUAUCUGUGAGUAAUGUACCAAGCAGUGUCUUCAACAUCAAUUUUAUAGCAAAUGCCUAAGUGAUGUUUGAUGAAAUCCAAAAGCGUGUAUAAAAGCACCAUUUUGGAAAGGUGAUUUGUCAGCAGGAUAAACAAAUGUGCUCCCAAGAUGCAGCCUUCUGGUGGUCUGACUAAAGGAUAGAACUUAGAUUAUCCAAAGUUGUAAAGAUGACUUUAUUCAUUACAGAGUCUUCCCUAAAUUUCAAUUUCUAACACAAAUUUGAUAGAACCCACUACAUGGCAUACUAUUUAAGGUUAUAUACUCUUUGGCAAGAACGUGGAUUCUAUUCUUUUGAUUUGCUUAGAGGAAAACAAAGCAUGUCAGGUGGACACCCUUAAUGAAAUUUGAGCCACCUUACCACUGUGUUCACUAAAUAACAGAACAAUCUCUGAGUGGAAUAAACUACCCAUAUUACUUUCUCCAUUCUAUGAUGACCUGUUAGUAUCUAGUCACUCAUGUCUCCUGAUUGGAAUUCAGGUGAUACCUUAAAUCAAGUGUUAUCCCGUUAUCAUGGAAAUGAUUUGAAAUUAGUGUUACUACUAAUCAUCAUGUAUAAAUAGCUGUAUUAAGCAUCAGGAGAAAUUCAAACCAAAAGACCAAGUAGGUAAAAGUAAAGAAGCUGUCAGCAGUGGCAUGUGGUAAAAGACCUGCGUGAAAAAAAUCAAAUGACUUGAGUUCCAACUCAAGUCCCACCAUUAAUUUUUUAAUUCACCCUUGGAUUUUUCAUCUGUAAAAUGAGACUGUUGUGGGAGAUUACAAUACUUUAAAUAGAGCUGUUAAAAAUAAAAUUAUAUGGAAGAUUUUGUAAAAUGAUAAGUUCUACAUUGCCCAGGCUGGAGGCUCACUGCAACUUCCACCUCCUGGGUUCAAGCAAUUCUCCUGUCUCAGCCUCCUGAGUAGCUGGGAUUACAGGCAUGAGCCACCACCCAGCCUAGAAUAUUUUUAUAAUCCAGAACGAUAUCUGCCAUUAAGCAAGACUAAAUCAACACAUGAGUAUUUAAGAGAACUGUACAAUUAAAAAUUACUGUUUAGUAUAGGUUAACAACUUUUUACUUGAGCUGUCUCCUUUAUCUUCAUAAUCUAGAUAUGGUAGAGUCACAAAACAUAUUUAAUGUGUGUAAUUCAGUUGUCUUGAUAUGAAUGCGGAAUUAAACCCAAAAUUCAGGAAUUCAUGUUUCUACCAAAAUCUCAGUGUGUCAGUAUCUCAAACGUGAUAUCUUAAAAAAACUCGAAGUGCCCUUCUUGCCCUCUCAAGGCCACACCUCCUGUAGUGUUACCACUUCUGUUACCCCACUUCAGAUACCCUCGUGAAUACUUCUGACGAAUGCUGUUUCUUGCCUGAAAUCUUAGAGGAACUUAAUUGAGCAUUCUGCUGGCAUCGUUCUCUUUUUGCCUGUCUUUGCACCAAGAAAACAUGUGCUGAAGCCCAACUCUAAUGGUCUCUCCCGCUUGCCUUAAAUGCUGAUUUCCCAUUGUCUGUGUGAAUAGAUUUUAAACCCCUUAAGGCUUUCUCUUCUUUGGCCCAGCUUAUCACUUCAUCCCUGCGGCUCGGCAGUCAUGCAGCAGUGCCUGCCAUCGCUUUCACACACAUCAUACUUUCGUUGGCCAAGAAUCGUUGUUCAUUCUGUUAUCUCUGCUUAGAAUUCUCUCUACCCCUUUUAUAUAUUAAGAUUAUGUUUUUGCUUCAGACCUCAGCUCAGAUACUACCUCCAAAAAACCUUUUCUUUUUUCCUCAGCCAGAGGUUACCCACUCAUCAUUCUUUCAUUCAUUCCACAAGCCAGUGAGUACUUACCAUUCAUCCAGCAUCCACCCUCUAGAUCUUGCAGUUUAAUAAGAGAACACAGACAUUUAAUGAAUUACAAUAAAGUAUUCUAAAGACUUUAAUACAAGUAUGUGAAGGGUACACUGGGGUCCAAGUAGAAUAUAGUAAGUUCCAUGUAGCAAAUACAAUAAUGAGGAAGGACUUUAGAGAAGAGAUAUGCAGCGAGGAGAUAAGGCAUGAGACAGGUGAGAGAGAUAGGGGUUUGGAGGGGGGCUGUUAUAAGAAGAGUACCAGCGUAAUCUAAGAUGUAGGGGCAUGCAGCAGUUUCAAGCACUGAACUACAAGUGUUUUAUUAUGGUGAGAAAAUAGGGUGGGGUAGGGGAAGGGCGGAGGAGUUUGGGCCUAAACAGGAGCCUGGAAAGGGAAGCAGGAGACUGAUUUUUAACAGCUCAUAUUAUACCAUGCAAAGGGCCUUAGCUUUUCUAAGAGGCUUGGGGAGCCAUUGAAAUGCUUAAAGUAUAAUCAACUGAGUAGUUAGGCGGUGCUAGAGAGAUUGGAAGAAAACCAAAGCAAAGCUGUCAGUUGGAAGACUAUUCCAAGAGAGUGGCAGUGGAGAUGGUGUGGCAGGAGC